Molecule: long non-coding RNA, 2564 nt
Organism: Lontra canadensis (Northern American river otter)
Lineage: Eukaryota; Metazoa; Chordata; Mammalia; Carnivora; Mustelidae
Exons: 4
Source: RefSeq, a predicted model, not a curated record
AAUAGUUGUUUAUUUCCUAGUCACUAAAUUAAUGCAUAUUCCAUUGUUAAAUUUCAGAAAAUAGAAAAACAAAGAAAAGUAACCCUUACUGUGCAACCAAUAUAACCACUACUUACUUUUUGGUACACAAUAUUUCUUCCUUGGACAUACCGCACACACAGAUUGUCUCUGUGCUUUCAGCCACAGCCACUGGCACCUUUAAUAGUCUUAAUCUUUCCUGCUGUGGGCAAACCUAUUUCACCCCAUGUAUGAAACCUUUUGCGAUUUUUUUUCCUCUGUAUCCUUACAGCAUUCAUGUUGUAUGAUAAUUACCUAUUCGUAUGUCUUUUGGACCAAGUUCCUAGGAGCAAGCUAAAGUUCUAGAACUAUUAGAAUAAAGCAAGAGAUAGAAGAGACCAGAAUGUCAGAUGCACAAGUGGUUUCACACACCAGUUUGUGAACUGGGGUUCAUCUAUGGUGAAGUUUCUGCAAAUCAGCGGAGGAAUGAGAAAAGGAUAUAUAUAGUUCCUCCAGAAGCAGUCUUCAAGCCAAGAAUUGAGCAUAAGUGGUUUGCUAAUACCCAGCCCCAGAAGAAGAAACCAGUAAGGGAGUAGAAGAAGCAGACUGAGGAGAGGGAAGAACCUAAGAGAGGUCAUAAGGGUGUAGAAGAUAGCAGUGCACACCAAGGGCAUGCAGAAAUAGAACCCGAAGAGCCACCAAUCCUUUACAUCUUGGUAAAACUGUAAGAUUGUUUAUUUACGAAGGAUAAUGCGGCCUCCUGUAUCAUCUCAGUUCCCACAGUAAAAAAUAAUCAUGCUGCUCUGUGAAAAACUGGACGGUUGCUGAAUAUAGAAAGAGGCCCAGUAGGCUACACUUGUAACAUGUCUAUUAAAAUAAUCUAUAAAUGGCUCCUGAGGAAAAAAAGUUCUGGGCAGAGGUUCUUAACUGUUCUUAUGCCAUCGACCCCUUUGAACGUCUGGUGAAGACUGUAAUCCUUUCUGAGAAUAACACUUCUAUAUGCCUAAAAGUAAGAUUACAGGGUAACCAGUUACAUUGAAACACAGCCAUUGAAAUAGUAAAAAGAAAAUUCUGAUAUAGAAAUAGAGGUGUUUAUUAACAAGUUAAGGGAAAAAUCUAACGUUGGUUCUAAUAACUAUCAGAAGUUGAAAAGUGAUGAGUGUAAAUGAUAUUUCAAGAUUAUCUAAAUGUUAUUGUGACAAGAAAAUGUCUAUUAUUCCUAUUAGUAGAAAUAUGGUUCUGUUAAAUAUGCUUGUGGUUCAUUGCCUACAUUCACAAUAGAAGGAAAUGAUAAAUUCCAGUUAGAAGUUACUGAAAAUAAAUAUGUAAUUUCUUUUCCAUUUAAGUUCACAGGCCCCUGAAUUCUAUCCUAAAGUUACUGUAAACUACCAAAGGAGUUGGUUUAUUCAGAUGUAUUCAUACAAAUAUCUCCCUCUCCAUAUCACACUGUAGAAGAUUUCAGUACUGAAGUCAAAAAAACAACAAAAAAAAAAAAAAAGAAAAAAAAAUCAGAACUCUUUACCCCUCCCGCCCCCCUUCCAGAUGCAUUGCUGACUGGGUAUGAAUGCUGCAGAAGCAGCUGCAGAGGGUUUGGAAGCUGACCCCUGAGGGGUCUGGUUGGAGCCCCUGCCCCCUCCAAGGCACAGGCCUGUAGAGAAAGGGGUCACACAUUUCUUUUGAACUAAUGUCAUCAGCCAGGGUAUGAAGGGACCUCCCUCCACUCUAGGUUAGAGCAAAGUUGAGGAGGAAAGAAUGGAACACAAACUAGGCAACAAGAGGAGAAAAAGAAUCUGGAAACUUCAGACUCGGAACGGAAUGUAAAAAAUGAUCAGUAUAAACUCCUACCUUUUACUGAAACCCUAAGGUAGCCAACCUUUGCUUGCCCACUCUUAUUAGAGACUUGUCUUUGCGAAAGCUCUUUUCAUUUUGCCUGGUUCACAUGAUUAGUAGCCCCUUCUUAUAUCAAGACUCUUUUCUCUAACACUUUAGCCUGGAAUAUCUAGAUGGCUUAUUCCCACUUCCCAAAUUCUGAUAACCUCCUGCUGUUUUCUUUGUUCUUUCACUUUGGAGACUGACUUAAUAAAAAGGUCAGUAGAUAAACAGAAUACCUUCAUUUUACCAUUGCCAGUUUGGCAGUUUUCAAGAGCACUUUUAAAUUUAAAAUAAGAAUUUCCAAAGAGGAAAACUGGUCAACUGUAAAACCACUAAUUUUGUGAAUUUUCCAAGUUAGGAAAACAUACCUGGAGAUGUCUGUAAAUGAUUAAAUGUGGAAUCUGAGCUGUAUGAAACCUACAUCAAAGCACUAAAUUAUGCCGGUUUAAGAGAAGUAGUUACCCUUUUAGUUUUUCUCCUCUGUCCACAUUUGACUAGUUUGGUAAAGGAAAUACGCAUUUUAAACAUGUUUUCCAAUACACUCAAUUACAUAAUUAAAGUCUGCAGAAAAACAUAAUGUGGUCAGGUGUAUUAAAUAAAGACGGAAUUCGCUUAACUAAAACACUUUAAAAAAAGUUCUGCAAAUUUAUAUCAUUUGUAUAAUACAUGCAGAAUUGUACGACCAUAAGUACCUA